This 504-nucleotide ribosomal RNA is filed under the name uncultured bacterium. Its description in RNAcentral is "partial 16S ribosomal RNA". It matches the Rfam family "Bacterial small subunit ribosomal RNA", at positions 30 to 523 of the family's 1533-position model. The record is from RNAcentral.
AUUGAACGCUGGCGGCAGGCCUAACACAUGCAAGUCGAGCGGUAACACAGGGAGCUUGCUCCCGGGUGACGAGCGGCGGACGGGUGAGUAAUGUCUGGGAAACUGCCUGAUGGAGGGGGAUAACUACUGGAAACGGUAGCUAAUACCGCAUAACGUCGCAAGACCAAAGAGGGGGACCUCCGGGCCUCUUGCCAUCAGAUGUGCUCAGAUGGGAUUAGCUAGUAGGUGGGGUAAUGGCUCACCUAGGCGACGAUCCCUAGCUGGUCUGAGAGGAUGACCAGCCACACUGGAACUGAGACACGGUCCAGACUCCUACGGGAGGCAGCAGUGGGGAAUAUUGCACAAUGGGCGCAAGCCUGAUGCAGCCAUGCCGCGUGUAUGAAGAAGGCCUUCGGGUUGUAAAGUACUUUCAGCGGGGAGGAAGGUGCUGAGGUUAAUAACCUCAGCAAUUGACGUUACCCGCAGAAGAAGCACCGGCUAACUCCGUGCCAGCCGCCGCCGUAA